This 497-nucleotide ribosomal RNA is filed under the name uncultured bacterium. Its description in RNAcentral is "partial 16S ribosomal RNA". It matches the Rfam family "Bacterial small subunit ribosomal RNA", at positions 28 to 507 of the family's 1533-position model. The record is from RNAcentral.
GAUGAACGCUGGCGGCGUGCCUAAUACAUGCAAGUCGAGCGAACAGACGAGGAGCUUGCUCCUCUGACGUUAGCGGCGGACGGGUGAGUAACACGUGGAUAACCUACCUAUCAGACUGGGAUAACUUCGGGACAGCGGAGCUAAUACCGGAUAAUAUAUUGAACCGCAUGGUUCAAUAGUGAAAGACGGUGUUGCUGUCACUUAUAGAUGGAUCCGCGCCGCAUUAGCUAGUUGGUAAGGUAACGGGUUACCAAGGCGACGAUGCGUAGCCGACCUGAGAGGGUGGUCGGCCACACUGGAACUGAGACACGGUCCAGACUCCUACGGGAGGCAGCAGUAGGGAAUCUUCCGCAAUGGGCGAAAGCCUGACGGAGCAACGCCGCGUGAGUGAUGAAGGUCUUCGGAUCGUAAAACUCUGUUAUUAGGGAAGAACAAAUGUGUAAGUAACUAUGCACGUCUUGACGGUACCUAAUCAGAAAGCCACGGCUAACUACGUG